Molecule: long non-coding RNA, 449 nt
Filed under: Pectinophora gossypiella (pink bollworm)
Lineage: Eukaryota; Metazoa; Arthropoda; Insecta; Lepidoptera; Gelechiidae
Description: uncharacterized LOC126380205
Source: RNAcentral
UAAUAUAGGUCUACCAGCAUCUGAUGGCAUAAAAAAAGUAAAAAAAAUAUUGAUUUUCCUAUGGUAAUAUUAAACUGUCUCCUGUCAUGUCGAAGUACAUGUUUUGUCAACAAUACUGAGAUUUUCCAAAGAUUCCUUGAAACUAUUCUGAAUUUCAUAAGAAUAUCGAAAAAAACCACUUCGAUCACAAGCAAGAAAGAUUGUUUACAUUGUUUAUUGUAAAAUUAGUGAAGAAGCAGUUGGAGAUCAACCGCAAUCUUCGAUUUUAAAUCGCGUCCAAAGUUGACCGGAGUUCCUAGCACUACCAUACGACGAAUAAUUGCUGAAGGUAGACCGAAUGGAAGUGUAUUUAGUGCACCCGGUAAAAAGAAGAGAGGUGGAAAGAAAACAAAUAACCAGGAGAGUUUUGAUUUGGAAAUAGCAUAAUAUAAGUGAUCUUUUCAUAAAUA